UAAAAGAGAACCAACACAAUAAUAUAUUGAGUUAGUAGUUAUAGUUUGAUUACAACUCCACUUCUUAUCCGUAGUCCAUUUAAGUCCUUAGCCAAUACAAACUCUAACUCUUAUCUUAACUUAGGAUCAAGUUCUCUUCACAUAAGGUGAUUGUCCUCCUUAUCCCAAAUGCAACCUUUUUUAUUAUGUUCAGAAGAUAUUGACGCGUGAUCUUUAGUGCAUAUCAUCCUCACGAGCUUCACAUGUGCACUGGUUGAUUCAGACUUUGUAAUACAAGAUGGACCAGGUCCUUCCAUAAGUUCAUUUGUCAAUCUUCAAAACUCCAACUGAAAUGUGGUUAAACAACUAUGCAUUCAAAUUAAUGACAAGAUUUGCGAGGGCCAUGAAAAUUUUAUCUAAUUGCCCUGCUUAAUUCAGACUGUGUUGUACAAGAUGGAACAGGUCCUUCCAUAGGUUCAUUUAUCAAUCUUUAAAACUCUAACUGAAACUUGGGUCAACAAAGGAGCAAAGGGAGAAAAUCACGUGCAAAAUUUUAGUUCUCAAGGAAAGGCAUGUUUUCAUCUCCCACCAAGGCACGAGUAGAAACAGCCACAAACCGAGCAUACCAGCGUCAGUCAUGAUCAUCUUCAGGACUAACUAGGACUCAUUUUCUUAUCGCUGCAAUUUUAAAAACACCCUCUCGAAUUUUUUUUGGAGAAUAU
Molecule: long non-coding RNA, 701 nt
Filed under: Nicotiana benthamiana
Lineage: Eukaryota; Viridiplantae; Streptophyta; Magnoliopsida; Solanales; Solanaceae
Description: long non-coding RNA (NBEN_LNC004392)
Source: RNAcentral